CCUACGGGAGGCAGCAGUGGGGAAUAUUGGGCAAUGGAGGAAACUCUGACCCAGCGACGCCGCGUGCGGGAUGAAGGCCUUCGGGUUGUAAACCGCUUUCAGUAGGGAAGAAGCGAAAGUGACGGUACCUACAAAAGAAGCACCGGCUAACUAUGUGCCAGCAGCCGCGGUAAGACAGAGGGUGCAAACGUUGUUCGGAAUUACUGGGCGUAAAGCGCGUGUAGGCGGCUUGGCAAGUCGGGUGUGAAAGCCCUGGGCUCAACCCAGGAAGUGCACUCGAAACUGCUUCGCUAGAGUACCGGAGAGGAUAGCGGAAUUCUCGGUGUAGAGGUGAAAUUCGUAGAUAUUCGGAGGAACACCAGUGGCGAAGGCGAUUUCCUGGUACAUGACUGACACUCAGACCCGAAAGUGUGGGGAUCAAACAGGAUUAGAUACCCUGGUAGUCCACACCGUAAGCGAUGUGCAUUAGGCGUUGGAGCGUUUUACGCUUCAGUGCUACAGCUAACGCGUUAAAUGCACCGCCUGGGAAGUACGGCCGCAAGGUUGAAACUCAAAGGAAUUGACGG
RNAcentral lists this ribosomal RNA (566 nucleotides) under uncultured delta proteobacterium. Its description in RNAcentral is "bacterial SSU rRNA". It matches the Rfam family "Bacterial small subunit ribosomal RNA", at positions 338 to 916 of the family's 1533-position model. Lineage: Bacteria; Deltaproteobacteria. The record is from RNAcentral.